RNAcentral lists this ribosomal RNA (229 nucleotides) under uncultured bacterium. RNAcentral describes it as "partial 16S ribosomal RNA". It matches the Rfam family "Bacterial small subunit ribosomal RNA", at positions 568 to 796 of the family's 1533-position model. The record is from RNAcentral.
UGCGUAGGCGGAUUAAUAAGUCAGUGGUGAAAUCUCUCGGCUCAACCGGGAAACUGCCAUUGAUACUGUUGAUCUUGAGUUCGGUUGAGGUAGGCGGAAUGUGUAAUGUAGCGGUGAAAUGCUUAGAUAUUACACAGAACACCAAUUGCGUAGGCAGCUUACUAGACCGACACUGACGCUGAGGCACGAAAGCGUGGGGAGCGAACAGGAUUAGAUACCCUGGUAGUCC